GCCGAGCGGGGUGAUGUCGGCUUGUAACCUUAAUGGGGGCAAACAGGUAGUUUGGAUCGUGGGCGUGGUCGCUUUGGUGGUAGUGGUGGUGCCCUAGCCAAUGCGUGCUGGUCGAAGCUAGGAGACAUUGUGGCUUGCCCUCUUGAAAGGAGUGGAGCAGGCCAUGACAUAGAGAGGGGGGGAACCUCAUCAGACUGAGCACCUCCCGCUCUUAACAUGUUGAUGCCCCUUUGUCUCAUCAGUUGCCAUCGAGAUCCACUCUAACAUGGACAAUCCCUUUU
This 281-nucleotide non-coding RNA is filed under the name Amborella trichopoda. The record is from RNAcentral. Lineage: Eukaryota; Viridiplantae; Streptophyta; Magnoliopsida; Amborellales; Amborellaceae.